AUUGAAAGUACUAGUUAGAUGAAG
RNAcentral lists this microRNA (24 nucleotides) under Ananas comosus (pineapple). RNAcentral describes it as "microRNA s0324_c103". Lineage: Eukaryota; Viridiplantae; Streptophyta; Magnoliopsida; Poales; Bromeliaceae. The record is from RNAcentral.